UUAAAAUCUUUCUCUUUACAUGUUUCAGAAAACAUUUUGGGCUGUUCAGUUGCAGACUGAGCAAGACUUGGAGAAAAGGCACGCACAGUUUUAUUUAAACAGCAAGUAGGCUGGUAUCAUCCUGAUAUCUAUUAUUACCAGCUACUGUGCCACGAGCACCUACUUACAGUGACAGUGUUGCAGACACUACUGAAAGCUUUUGAAAACGUGCCUUUUCUUUCUGGAUCUCAGUCUGGCACCCUCAAUUCCUGCUGUCUCAGUGGCUGGUCAGUCUUACAUCUGUGGAAAAGGCCUUGAAGAUGGUUUGCAGAAGUCUUUGGAAUCUUUUAAUUUUCAGGAUAUCAGUUGAAGCCAUACCAAACCACUUCUGACAUGAAUCUAUUUCCAACAAAUAGUUUAGCAGUGUUUGAUAUAGUCUGCAGAUGGCAAUAUACCACAGACACCUCCAUCUCUGUAUCUCUGGUAUCAUUAUUGCAAAUGUCAGUUUUCCUAGAAUGGACCAAAGAUUGCUGGAGUGUACUCACUGGAGUUCACAAUGUAGGGCACCAGUUUGUUUAUAAUUUGCUGCCUAAACCAGGUUUUGUGCUAAUUACUUUUCUUUGGAGUUGCCAACUCAGCAUCUUCCACAAACCUUGUCUCCUUCUUGGGUGUUUUUGUUUAAGAAAUUUAUUUUUUCAUGGAGAAAACAUCGUUUUGCUCUGGUUCUAUAACUUCAUGGAUAUUACAUAUAUAGUAUGUAGAGAUUUUCUAAUAUACUUCUCAUCUUCCAUUGUACAUUCUCCCUAAUUAGCUUUGAGCUUUCAUAUAGUGUCUUUCAUCUAGGGAUAUUAAACUACUUGUUACCAAUAAUUUACCUUUAUCAUGGAGAUGACCAGUUUCUAUUACAUUGUAUUCUUUCCUUCCCAGUUGUUACUACCAUUCUAGAUGCAGCUGCUAUGCCAUUUUUGCCUAACAAGGCCAGAAACUAGAUGUAAUUGAAAGGAUUAGAAAGUAGCCUGCAUGCUGUGCAAUUUUCCAAUUAUACAUUUUGCAACUGUAGGCUGGUUUUUGAUCAAUCAACAGAUUGUGAGCCUUGAUAUCAGUAAAUGCUUUAUAAAAAAGCCCAAACUGAGUAAGAGUAAAAUUAAUAAUUAUUUUUUUUUGCCAGUAACCAGUGCAGUCUCAAACACUUUAAACGUAAAGUGGAGAACAGUUUAAGUAAUAAAGGCACACAACAUGUUGUACACUUAACCAUAUCUUCAGUCUGUCAAUCUCAAGCAAUUUUAAUGCCUCAAAAGGACAUUAUGCAGUGAAGUACAUGAGAAAAAGAAAAGAAUUUCAACCCUCAAAAGACUGUAUUAUGCUUUAGAAUGGAUGUAUUCUUUAUUUUAACAUGGUUUAACAUGAAUCACUAUUAAUGUCAUGGCUUAUACAGUUGUUUCAGACAAAUUUCAUUUUAUAAUAGGAAGAUAAUUAUUUAAGUUUGGUAAGGUCCUCAUAGAAUUAUUUACUGAUCAAACAAAGUCAUGAUGUUGAAUUUAACAAGUUUAGUCUUUUCUUACUGUUUUUUUUUAACCUGAAAAUAUUUUUCUGGAGCUUAUCAUUAAUUACCACCUUGUGGCUUAUUGGUAUUACUUCUUUUGAAUGUAUGGGAGCAGCAAGCCUUGGUCUCUAAAGGAGGAAGCAGCAGGUCAAGCAUUUAAUUUUGCAUUUGCAGGCAGAUAAUUUGUUCAUAUUAACACAUCUGUGGCCUUUUUUAUAAUGAAAGCAAAAGGACUGACUGUAUGGUAUGAAUCCUUGGGAUAAAAUGGAUUUUUUACAUGUGUUCAAAAUAGAAGUCUCAGUGAGCAUUCACUGAAACUCUGCUGUUUUGUUCAAUACAAAUUAACAGCUUAAUCAUUGUUUAUACAUCUCUGGGAAUUGAUAUACAGGAUCUGCAAAUACAGUAAAAAUAAAUUAAUUUUAAAUGGG
Long non-coding RNA from Neopsephotus bourkii (Bourke's parrot), 1950 nucleotides. RefSeq lists it as uncharacterized. Lineage: Eukaryota; Metazoa; Chordata; Aves; Psittaciformes; Psittacidae. The transcript is spliced from 2 exons. The record is from RefSeq and is a predicted model, not a curated record.